UUUUUUCGCGUCAUUCAUCUUUAUAAAUUAAUCAGCUGUUAGUAUUUAAUUGUACAACAGACUUCUUUUGUUGGCGUAGGUUAUGUUUUAUUAAUUAAUAAAUUAAAUUAUGAUUCAUUCUCAUCGUGAGUGUUGAAAAGUUUUAGUGUGGUGCUGUGCUACAAUGUUACGCCAGUGUAAAAAGACGGUCUGGGAACAGAGAGAUUAAUUGGGAAUCCUUAGUUACUGCGGUCCUCUGUUUCCGUGUGUGCAGUGCGGGAAGGUUUACAAGUCCAAAGCUUGUUGGUACAGGCACACUCGCAACGAGUGUAACAGGGAGCCUUCCAUAGCUUGUCCACGUUGUGAGUAUCGCACGCACCAACGUGCUCAUCUCCGCAGACACAUGUUCACAAGGCACAACGAGAUUCUACCUCCCGUCUUGCCGGGGCGGAGGCCUUUGUAACUGAUUAUACGUUUUUGGUCAACUGUCA
Molecule: long non-coding RNA, 470 nt
Organism: Macrosteles quadrilineatus (aster leafhopper)
Lineage: Eukaryota; Metazoa; Arthropoda; Insecta; Hemiptera; Cicadellidae
Exons: 2
Source: RefSeq, a predicted model, not a curated record